This 448-nucleotide ribosomal RNA is filed under the name uncultured Pseudomonadota bacterium. RNAcentral describes it as "bacterial SSU rRNA". It matches the Rfam family "Bacterial small subunit ribosomal RNA", at positions 28 to 505 of the family's 1533-position model. The record is from RNAcentral. Lineage: Bacteria; Pseudomonadati; Pseudomonadota.
GACGAACGCUGGCGGCAGGCCUAACACAUGCAAGUCGAACGAAUAUGGUCCUAGCUUGCUAGGAACCCAGUUAGUGGCGCACGGGUGAGUAACGCGUAGGAAUCUACCCAAUAGUACGGAAUAGCCCAUGGAAACGUGGAUUAAUACCGUAUACGCCCCACGGGGGAAAGUUUUAUCGCUAUUGGAUGAGCCUGCGUUAGAUUAGCUAGUUGGUAGGGUAAUGGCCUACCAAGGCGACGAUCUAUAGCUGGUCUGAGAGGAUGAUCAGCCACACUGGAACUGAGACACGGUCCAGACUCCUACGGGAGGCAGCAGUGGGGAAUAUUGCACAAUGGGGGAAACCCUGAUGCAGCCAUGCCGCGUGAGUGAUGAAGGCCUUAGGGUUGUAAAGCUCUUUCAGCAGGGAAGAUAAUGACGGUACCUGCAGAAGAAGCCCCGGCUAACUCCG